This is a long non-coding RNA of Bufo gargarizans (Asiatic toad), 1256 nucleotides long. RefSeq lists it as uncharacterized. The transcript is spliced from 3 exons. NCBI's taxonomy places the organism in Eukaryota, Metazoa, Chordata, Amphibia, Anura, Bufonidae. The record is from RefSeq and is a predicted model, not a curated record.
GGCUCUUUGUCUCCCCUCAUCCAGGUCACUAACUCUGCUUAUAGCUUUUCUAGUGCCUGAUAUAAGAGGCACGAGGUUCCCCUCACCUUCCUUUACUAUCCCUAAAGCUUUAUACAUGUGUCUUGGAGUUGUCUGAUACCCUAUGGAUACCUUCCAGCCCGACCGCCUCCACCUUGUGAGGAGAAUGAUGAUGCGUCACGAUGGAGCAUGAGAAGAACGAGCAGAAAUCCUACCAAGGCCUCACAGGGCUGAGACGACAUCUGCUUCUCCUCCUGCCGCAGGACAGACGACCAGACGACUAAAUGAAACUGGACUAUUCGUUUAAAUUAAGAGAAGAGCGGUGGCGGUAUCCUUCACUCAUAAAUAUAUUGUUAGGCUGCCUGCACAUGCGGCUCACUGCAACGUGCUUCAAAUAGCUUGUAGAGGCGCGGCCCAGCAAUUAGCAGUCAGCCCGAGGAUCCCGCUGCUGUCCCCACAUUGUGGACGGGUAGCCCAACAGGUCUGGACAAGAUGAUAUCAGUGACGUCAGCACCAGGCGGACAACUUCCCGUUCAUUGCAAUGAAAGCAGCAGCCACACAGUGACGUAACUAGAAAUAACAGGGCCUGCUCCGUCCGUCUCCUACGGUGUCUCUCUACAUAAUGUAAUUCUAUAAGCCUCAUGCACACCGCCGUUCUGUGCAUUGGGGACUGCAAUUUGCAGUCCCCAAUGCAUGGGGAACGUCCGUGCUGCACAAUACUUAAAAUUGCCUAAAUGAUACCGCUGCGCAGUGCUUAUAUAAUAGUACAAUAUGGUAAACAUAUAACUGAGGCACAAUUACACCAUCAAACAGCGGAAAUAUAAUAGUGCCGUACAGAACCUAGAUGAUACUGCUGUGCAGUACUUAUAUAAUAGUACUAUAUAGUGAACAAGUAAUUGAGGCACAAUAACACCAUGAAAUACUGCCAAUAUAAUAGUGCCAUACAUUACUUAACUAAUACCGCUGUGCAGUGCUCAUAUAAUAGUACCAGGAUCGGACUGGCCCACCGGGGAGGCGGGGGAUUCCUCUGUAAGCCCCCAGUCUCCUGCACCCGGAGAUAAGACGGAGGAGUAAUUAUUUCUCUUGUUUCUCAGGGGAUAUAAUUAUUGUAGCCACUAGGUGGCAGUAUCGCACAGCUAUGCAGCCUCCUACUGGUGUACAUUGUACAUGAAACCCUGCAGUUUCUUCUAAACUUUCCGGGCUGCUGGCAAUGAAGGAGGAGAGAACAUGUCUGGCCA